RNAcentral lists this long non-coding RNA (1100 nucleotides) under Astyanax mexicanus (Mexican tetra). Its description in RNAcentral is "lncRNA (ENSAMXG00005001675.1)". Lineage: Eukaryota; Metazoa; Chordata; Actinopteri; Characiformes; Acestrorhamphidae. The record is from RNAcentral.
CCUGAAAUAUUGUGCCAUAUCACCCACCCCUAAUUAUCACAUCAGGGUACUACUUUUUUGCUGUUUUUAGCAAAAGAAAAAUUCACACUGUUCUCAUUUUUAAUUAUAUAUCUACUAAAGACAGAUUAUAUCUGUCCAGUAUCAUUUAUUUUACUUUAAUCCUGGAUAUAUGGAGAUAUUUGGAGUGCAUUAUUAUUAGUAUCAUGACAUUCUGGAUCAUUGACUUCUGUUACAAAUUAAUGUUACUGAAUGUCUUGUAUUUUUUUUUAAAUCUCAGUUAGGGGUGUGACAUAUCAUACCGUAUGCAAUAAGAAAAUUUAAUAUUCAUUUUGUUGCAGUAGUGUAUUCUUGAAAUAAUUCAGUAUUUUGUUAUAUAGCCAAGAGUAUCGUUAUCGCGAAAAUACCAUGAAAUAUCGUGAUAUUAUUUUAGGGCCAUAUACCUGAAAGGACCAUCAACUUACCAAGAAUGCCUAAAAGACCGUUUCUGCUGGAAUCAGUUAAAAAACAUGUCUUUCAGGAGCUUCUCAGUGCUACCUGGAAUCAGAGGGAAGAGACAAGAGAGGGCUGAUGGAUUUGAAGAGAUUCUGGACCAGCAACAACAAUGCUGCAGAAUCCCACGGCCUCCAACCAGCCAACCUCCCCAGUCAAAGAAAGACAGAACCUGUCGCAAACUGCGUCCUCUGACCUCUGACACUUCUGAGGAGGAUAUGGUGACCGCUGGAGCUGGACCUGUUGUAUAUCCAGGACAAAUGUACAGAGCUAGUGAGGUCUGCAGUCAUGACAGCAGCUCCAUGGUUUGGGAAGCAGGUACAGGAGGAAAGGUUUUCUUUCAGGACUUGGAAAGCCUGACUUCGUUCCCUCAGGUGAUCUUGUUACCUCAGACAAAGCCAAAAGGUUUCUCCCACUUAGUACACUGAAAGCCGCUGCUUACCAGAAGAGCAGCCUUGCAGGGUGACCUCAAACCUAAAGCCCACAUUGUGUUUGAUUCUGACUCUCGUCCUGAUCGCCUGCCACAGAUCAGUCAGAAGAGUGUGCCUCUGGUCUGUCAAAGUGAUGGGAACACCAAUAAACAGAGCAAGAGUUUCUAUGAGUAUGAGGUU